ACGCUCGACACCUACGGAAGGCAGCAGUGGGGAAUAUUGCACAAUGGGGGAAACCCUGAUGCAGCGACGCCGCGUGAGCGAAGAAGUAUUUCGGUAUGUAAAGCUCUAUCAGCAGGGAAGAAACUGACGGUACCUGACUAAGAAGCACCGGCUAAAUACGUGCCAAGCAGCCGCGGUAAUCUGAGCGGGCUGGCAAGGC
This 199-nucleotide ribosomal RNA is filed under the name uncultured bacterium. RNAcentral's name for it is "partial 16S ribosomal RNA". It matches the Rfam family "Bacterial small subunit ribosomal RNA", at positions 326 to 539 of the family's 1533-position model. The record is from RNAcentral.